This 1129-nucleotide ribosomal RNA is filed under the name Salmonella enterica. RNAcentral's name for it is "partial 23S ribosomal RNA". It matches the Rfam family "Bacterial large subunit ribosomal RNA", at positions 1 to 1059 of the family's 2925-position model. Lineage: Bacteria; Pseudomonadati; Pseudomonadota; Gammaproteobacteria; Enterobacterales; Enterobacteriaceae. The record is from RNAcentral.
GGGUUGUGAGGUUAAGCGACUAAGCGUACACGGUGGAUGCCCUGGCAGUCAGAGGCGAUGAAGGGCGUGCUAAUCUGCGAUAAGCGCCGGUAAGGUGAUAUGAACCGUUAUAACCGGCGAUACCCGAAUGGGGAAACCCAGUGUGACUCGUCACACUAUCAUUAACUGAAUCCAUAGGUUAAUGAGGCGAACCGGGGGAACUGAAACAUCUAAGUACCCCGAGGAAAAUAAAUCAACCGAGAUUCCCCCAGUAGCGGCGAGCGAACGGGGAGGAGCCCAGAGCCUGAAUCAGCAUGUGUGUUAGUGGAAGCGUCUGGAAAGGCGCGCGAUACAGGGUGACAGCCCCGUACACAAAAGCGCAUGUGCUGUGAGCUCGAUGAGUAGGGCGGGACACGUGGUAUCCUGUCUGAAUAUGGGGGGACCAUCCUCCAAGGCUAAAUACUCCUGACUGACCGAUAGUGAACCAGUACCGUGAGGGAAAGGCGAAAAGAACCCCGGCGAGGGGAGUGAAAAAGAACCUGAAACCGUGUACGUACAAGCAGUGGGAGCCCCACCACCAAAGCAUUCUCUGGUGUUGAAGGCCCUGCAAAGCAGCAUCGCGGUGGCGGAGCGUCGUUUGCGACGCCCAACACACAAAACAAGCGGUGAGUGCUUUGGGGUGGGGUGACUGCGUACCUUUUGUAUAAUGGGUCAGCGACUUAUAUUCUGUAGCAAGGUUAACCGAAUAGGGGAGCCGGAGGGAAACCGAGUCUUAAUUGGGCGUUAAGUUGCAGGGUAUAGACCCGAAACCCGGUGAUCUAGCCAUGGGCAGGUUGAAGGUUGGGUAACACUAACUGGAGGACCGAACCGACUAAUGUUGAAAAAUUAGCGGAUGACCUGUGGCUGGGGGUGAAAGGCCAAUCAAACCGGGAGAUAGCUGGUUCUCCCCGAAAGCUAUUUAGGUAGCGCCUCGUGAAUUCAUCUCCGGGGGUAGAGCACUGUUUCGGCUAGGGGGUCAUCCCGACUUACCAACCCGAUGCAAACUGCGAAUACCGGAGAAUGUUAUCACGGGAGACACACGGCGGGUGCUAACGUCCGUCGUGAAGAGGGAAACAACCCAGACCGCCAGCUAAGGUCCCAAAGUCAUGGU